This 255-nucleotide ribosomal RNA is filed under the name uncultured bacterium. RNAcentral describes it as "partial 16S ribosomal RNA". It matches the Rfam family "Bacterial small subunit ribosomal RNA", at positions 524 to 776 of the family's 1533-position model. The record is from RNAcentral.
UACGUAGGGUGCAAGCGUUAAUCGGAAUUACUGGGCGUAAAGCGUGCGCAGGCGGUGAUGUAAGACAGAUGUGAAAUCCCCGGGCUCAACCUGGGAACUGCGUUUGAAACUACAAGGCUAGAGUGUAGCAGAGGGGGGGUAGAAUUCCACGUGUAGCAGUGAAAUGCGUAGAGAUGUGGAGGAAUACCAAUGGCGAAGGCAGCCCCCUGGGUUAACACUGACGCUCAUGCCACGAAAGCGUGGGGAGCAAACAGG